GGCUGUCUGAAGCUAAUGUGUUAUCUCGAUUAUUCACAGUCAGUUACAGAUUAAACUCCUUGUUCUACUCUUUCCUCCUCCUCACUACUACACUUGACUAGUCUUAA
RNAcentral lists this Y RNA (107 nucleotides) under Carlito syrichta (Philippine tarsier). RNAcentral describes it as "Y RNA (ENSTSYG00000020567.2)". It matches the Rfam family "Y RNA". Rfam says of the family: Y RNAs are components of the Ro ribonucleoprotein particle (Ro RNP), in association with Ro60 and La proteins. The record is from Rfam by way of RNAcentral. Lineage: Eukaryota; Metazoa; Chordata; Mammalia; Primates; Tarsiidae.